Molecule: long non-coding RNA, 2485 nt
Organism: Biomphalaria glabrata
Lineage: Eukaryota; Metazoa; Mollusca; Gastropoda; Planorbidae
Exons: 3
Source: RefSeq, a predicted model, not a curated record
CCUACAUAUUCUAUGAAACAUACAAACCUCUCUAUCUCUUAAUGUCAGCGACUAUAUCAAUAAUGUAUUUCUCUUGCUUGCUAGCAUGACCUUUGGGUAAAUCUAUAUUGACACCAGUCAGGAAUGUGUCUUUUUUCCAUUGAUUGUCUGUGUACUGAGGGAAGGGGAGGAGUGUACAUUAUUGUUUGUCCAAUACAUAAUAAUAAGCGUCAAUGCACAAUUGGAACAAAUGUUUACAGCUGGGAGGAAAUAAAAAAUACUAUCUCAGAAAAAUUGUGAAAAAAAACAAAUAAUUUAUUUCUUAACAACGAAAGUUGAUUUUUUGAAACAAUAAGUGCUUCUUUUUUUGGUUACUGUUUAUUCUUUCUUAACUUAAUAAUAUGGAGACUUACAUCUAUGACGGAUAAAUAAUUCAAUAUGUCUCUGGUGGACCAAUAUAAUUAGUGUUGAUAAGUUAUGCAUUUUAAAAGGAUGCGAUGCUGGCUAGUGAGACUGGUUUGUACUUUUCAGGGGCAGAUUUUUCUCCUUUUUUAAAUAGGGGAAUGACGUUAGCUUCUAUUCAGUCUUGGGAGGCACGGUGGCUGAGUGGUAAAGCGUUUGGCUUCCGAAUCGGGAACCCGGCUCGAAUCCUAGAAUUUUUACUUUUGGGAGCCACCUUCCUCUAAUGGAUACCUGAUAUUAGUUGGGGAAAAGUAAAGGUCGUUGUUCUGGUCACAUGACAACCUCUUUAACCGUGGGCCACAGAAACUGUCGACUUUUACAUCAUCUGCCUCAUAGACCACAAGGUUUGAAAGGGGAACUUUACUUUUUUUAUAAUCAUCAAUUGUCUGCAUCGCUAGAAAUUUAUCAAUCAGGAAUGUCUGACUUUGUAAGUCAAUCAUUUCCAGUUACAGGUAUGUCAGGGCACUUGACACAUCGCCCAGGAAUGAAUUUUCGUAAAGACAUAUUUCAGUCUUAAAAAAUAGGAAAAUCCAGAAGUCUUUCACUGAUACUAGCCUAGUGAGCGCUACAGGUUGAGAUACUAGCCUAGUGAGUGCUACAGCUUGAGAUACUUGCUUUGAUUGCUCUGUCAUUAAUAUUUACAUUUCAUGUCUCAAAUUAAAAAUACAACGAUUUAGUACCUCAUCCUAUGGAUCAGAUUCAAACGACAACUUUUCUAAUAACUCUUGUAUUUAGUCCACUGUGACAUCCAAUCCUGGCGCCACCAGUAGUGACUCCAAUACAUGUCUCACAAGAAAGAGAAAUAUCCUCCAUGAUGGUUGAAAUAGGUGAUGGUCUCAUGCCUCCUCCUCAUAGCUACUACGGCUCUAUUAUUUCAAUAUUGCUGUUUAUACCGCGAACACCAAGAGUGCAAACUAGCGAAAGAGAACCUUUUAAGUUCUAUAAUAACAGUAUCUCGUCAUUUUGAAUUGAGAUGCUACAAUAACUACGAAAGUAACACAGUACAAUGACUUCUCCUUUAGAAUGAUUAUUACAGUACAAGUAUGCCUUGGAAAAAGCUAGAUUAUGAAAGAGAAAGAAUUUUAAGUGCAUUAAAUAAUAGGAUGAUGACCUUUCAUUUAAUUUACUAAUAAAGAUAUUUUUUAAUGCUUUUUUGUUUUAUUUGUAAAUAUUUGGGUUAUAUUUAUUUUUGUGGCUUUAAGAAAAUGGGUUAUAUAUUUUUAAAAAUGUUCAGAUUAAAUUUGUACAAGUGCUCCUUCUUCCAUUUUGCCAUUAGACAAUGGAAUGGGUUGCCUGAAUCAGCCAGGAAAACCAACGACUUAGCAGAGUUUAAGUUAUUGAUUAACAUGCAUGACUAAAAUGACACAUGAAAUGCUUUAGAUGUAACAUCUGGCUAUCACAAUGACAAACUUCUUAUGUUUCUCCUCGACUAAUAUCAGGUACCCAUUAGAGAUGGGUAGACUCAGUCACAUCCCAAAGAUCUGUCUUAACCAGGAUUUGAACUCAGGACUCCUGAUUCAAAUUCCAAGCACUUUAUCACUCAGCUACUGCACCUCCUUUUUAUGAUGGAAAAAACAAACAUUAUUUAAGACAUUUUAUGUGUCUUAUCAAAUAAGACAUUUUAUGUGUGUCUUAUAAAAUAAUUGUUUUAAUUGCCUAUACUUCAUUCUGGGAGAAUAUUUCAAUAUAAAGACUAAAGCAUUAUGAAGAGUUAAUAGUGUUCAUUUAAGCUCACAAAAGGCAUGGAAGUGACGGAGAGAGUGUGUGUGUGAGUUAAUAAAAUGGUGGUCAAGUUUGUUGUAUUGUAUUAAAUAAUAGUUGAAUUACUUUUAGGUACCAGUAGUAAGAAUACUAUGUAAUAUUUGAAUGUAGUUUGUUAUUAGAAAUUGUUGUGUUAUAUAAAGAAAAAUGAAGUUACUUUGUAAUAUUAGAGAUGAUUUUAGGUCUUUCUGAGUAGCAAAUAAGCUGCACUCUUUCUUCCAGUAUAUUUUACCAUUUAUUGAAUGAUAUUGAAGAGCUUCCAAAUAAAUAUGUCUUAAUAUAA